This 449-nucleotide ribosomal RNA is filed under the name Pseudomonas jessenii. Its description in RNAcentral is "bacterial SSU rRNA". It matches the Rfam family "Bacterial small subunit ribosomal RNA", at positions 1 to 452 of the family's 1533-position model. The record is from RNAcentral. RNAcentral also lists the same sequence under 2 other names. Lineage: Bacteria; Pseudomonadati; Pseudomonadota; Gammaproteobacteria; Pseudomonadales; Pseudomonadaceae.
GAACUGAAGAGUUUGAUCAUGGCUCAGAUUGAACGCUGGCGGCAGGCCUAACACAUGCAAGUCGAGCGGAUGACAGGAGCUUGCUCCUGAAUUCAGCGGCGGACGGGUGAGUAAUGCCUAGGAAUCUGCCUGGUAGUGGGGGACAACGUUUCGAAAGGAACGCUAAUACCGCAUACGUCCUACGGGAGAAAGCAGGGGACCUUCGGGCCUUGCGCUAUCAGAUGAGCCUAGGUCGGAUUAGCUAGUUGGUGAGGUAAUGGCUCACCAAGGCGACGAUCCGUAACUGGUCUGAGAGGAUGAUCAGUCACACUGGAACUGAGACACGGUCCAGACUCCUACGGGAGGCAGCAGUGGGGAAUAUUGGACAAUGGGCGAAAGCCUGAUCCAGCCAUGCCGCGUGUGUGAAGAAGGUCUUCGGAUUGUAAAGCACUUUAAGUUGGGAGGAAGGG